GACACUGGCCUGGUUCAGUGAACGCUAGGAUCCAGGCCCCUCUGCUCAGCUGAAGAGCAUCUGGGGGGCAAUGCCCCUGCUCCAGGUCAACGACAAAGGCUUCCUCUCAGACCUCAAACCCCUGAGGCUGCCGCUCACUCCUCCCCAGCUCCCCUAGGGACCCAUGGGGUGCGCAAGCCACUCUCAGCUCCAGGUGACUCUGACUUCAUCGUAUGCAUCAAACUCUGCCUCCUGAAGAUGAACUAUAUUCUCAUAGGCCUCUCAUGAGACACCUCUGC
This 278-nucleotide long non-coding RNA is filed under the name Bos taurus (domestic cattle). RNAcentral's name for it is "long non-coding RNA NONBTAT015753". Lineage: Eukaryota; Metazoa; Chordata; Mammalia; Artiodactyla; Bovidae. The record is from RNAcentral.